UGGGGAAUAUUGGACAAUGGGCGCAAGCCUGAUCCAGCCAUGCCGCGUGAGUGAAGAAGGCCUUCGGGUUGUAAAGCUCUUUUAGUGGUGAAGAUGAUGACGGUAACCACAGAAAAAGCUCCGGCUAACUUCGUGCCAGCAGCCGCGGUAAUACGAAGGGAGCAAGCGUUGUUCGGAAUUACUGGGCGUAAAGGGCGCGUAGGCGGAUCGAUUAGUCAGAGGUGAAAGCCCGGGGCUCAACCCCGGAAUUGCCUUUGAUACUGUUGAUCUUGAGAAUGAGAGAGGUAUGUAGAAUUCCCAGUGUAGAGGUGAAAUUCGUAGAUAUUGGGAAGAAUACCAGUGGCGAAGGCGGCAUACUGGCUCAUUUCUGACGCUGAGGCGCGAAAGCGUGGGGAGCAAA
This 400-nucleotide ribosomal RNA is filed under the name uncultured bacterium. RNAcentral describes it as "bacterial SSU rRNA". It matches the Rfam family "Bacterial small subunit ribosomal RNA", at positions 355 to 772 of the family's 1533-position model. The record is from RNAcentral.